RNAcentral lists this long non-coding RNA (1510 nucleotides) under Brassica napus (rape). RNAcentral's name for it is "long non-coding RNA (BNAP_LNC011676)". The record is from RNAcentral. Lineage: Eukaryota; Viridiplantae; Streptophyta; Magnoliopsida; Brassicales; Brassicaceae.
ACGGGUUUCUGAUCAAUUUCUGAGAACAUAUGAUUCUUGUCGGAAAAUUCUCGAAACUUUGUUUUAAAUCAAUAUUCUCGGUAAUUUGUCCUAAAUCGAUGUCGGUACGUUGUCGGAAACAAAAUAAAAUUGCGAGGAGCUUGUUUUCUCGGAAAGUUCCGAGAACAUGAUGUCGGUAUUUUCUCAGGCCAAUCAAAAUCCCGACGAUUAAUAUGCUUCUCGGUACGGCGUCAUAGAAACUGACAAACGUCCGUCGUUCUCUUAGUUCGUCAUGUCGGCAAGUGAACUUUUUCCAACUUUACUUGAACAACGCAGUCAUCUGAUUCAGAUUGAAUAGUUUCAGAUUUUGUUUUAAUCAAGUAACAGUUAUGAAUCUGUAAGUAAACUCAUUUCAGCCAUGCAUUUGUAAACAUUAAUCGAUUUCGUUGUGAUCCCAAAUCUCUAUUUUCCCAGUUCGAUAUCUCUUGAUAUAUUUAAAGAUGAUACAAAAUUGUAACACGUGGCCAAACUAGAUGUGUCGUUUAGAAAAGAAGGGUCUGGAUGCAGAGUUAUAAACUUUUUGUGAAGAUAAUAAAAAGAAAAGGAAAAGAUAAUAUAACGCACUAUAUCUACUAUUUCUAUCUUUAUCCUGCCCACUUAUCUUUUUUUUUCUUAUCUUCUCCUAUUUUCUUCAAUCUCUGUCAAAGAGUUGAUCUUCUGUUGCGCAACGGUGUAAAGCGAUAUCUUCACGAGCUUGUUCUGGAUUCGGUGGCCUCCUUGCAAUCGUUUUAUUUAGUGAUCUCUGCCGCCGAUUUGUGGGGUUUACUUCCGGUUUCGGACUGGGAAUUUGAGGAGGUGGUGCUUCUGCUGGUGAUGAUUCUUCCAAUUUGGUCCCGGUUAGUGUGCUCUCUGCCUCUUUCUAGUAAAUUCGUUUUUCUCAUUUUCUCCUCUUUUCUUCUUUCCCUUCCUCUGUUUAUUUUAGUGCUUUCAGAUUUGUUUUCUCUUUGAACUGACACCACCGACCUUGCACCGCCACCAUCACCACCUAAACUCCCUCCACCUCCACCAUCACGGCGACCUUCGCACUCUACACCACACCGCCACAUCUCAACGACUAUUAGAUUAUAAGUUUUAUUUUUGUUUUCGUUUAAUUUUAUAGAACUUUUUUAAUUUCUUUAUUUGUAAUAUAUAUUUGAUAAUUUAAAUAUUAUUGUGAGUUUUAUUUGUAUUUCAUUUUUUGUUUUUUUUUUAUUUAAAAAUAUUAGUUUCUCGGAAGAUCAUCGCUAAUAUUUCUCGGAAGCUUAUCGGGAUCUUUUGAUCACUUUCCCAUAAAUUGUUCCGACAAAAUUUGUUAACGGAAAGUACCGACUAACUUCCCACAAACCGAUAUUUCCGAGACCCAAACUCCGACUAAAAUCUGAUUGUCGGGAAGUAAUCAGUAAUGACCAUUACCGACCAACUGCCGAUUAAUACGCCCGUCGGAGGAUAACCUUUAUUCUUGUAGUGAACCAGGCAGUCCACAAACACAUCA